Molecule: ribosomal RNA, 459 nt
Filed under: uncultured bacterium
Lineage: Bacteria
Description: partial 16S ribosomal RNA
Rfam family: Bacterial small subunit ribosomal RNA
Source: RNAcentral
CCUACGGGAGGCAGCAGUGAGGAAUAUUGGUCAAUGGUCGGGAGACUGAACCAGCCAAGCCGCGUGAGGGAUGAAGGUACAGAGUAUCGUAAACCUCUUUUGUCAGGGAACAAAGGCGGGGACGUGUCCCCGGAUGAGUGUACCUGAAGAAAAAGCAUCGGCUAACUCCGUGCCAGCAGCCGCGGUAAUACGGAGGAUGCGAGCGUUAUCCGGAUUUAUUGGGUUGAAAGGGUGCGCAGGCGGGUUGUUAAGUCAGCGGGAAAAGCCCGGGGCUCAACCCCGGCCCGCCGUUGAAACUGGCAGUCUCGAGUUGGAGAGAAGUAUGCGGAAUGCGCGGUGUAGCGGUGAAAUGCAUAGAUAUCGCGCAGAACUCCGAUUGCGAAGGCAGCAUGCCGGCUCCACACUGACGCUGAGGCACGAAAGCGUGGGUAUCGAACAGGAUUAGAUACCCCUGUAGUC